Molecule: long non-coding RNA, 41727 nt
Filed under: Marmota monax (woodchuck)
Lineage: Eukaryota; Metazoa; Chordata; Mammalia; Rodentia; Sciuridae
Source: RNAcentral
AGGUUCCUGAUGUUCAUCUAUAAUAUGAAAUGGCCUCCUAAUAGCUCUGCCAUUGGCAUCCAGUGGUUCUGAACUGGGCUGAAGCCACCAGGUAUGAGGUGUUUUGAUUUUGUCCAGUAACUGGAGGAUACACAACUGGCCUUUAUCAGGUAAGCAGCAGUAAAUGCUUAAUGUUCUGUGAUGCAUAGGACAGCUUCCUACAGUGAUGAAUUUUUCCUCAUUCCGAAUGACUUGCUAAAUUGUCUUGGUACUUUUUCCAGGGGGAAAACCUGUUUAAAAUAAUCUAAGUUCAGACUCAAAUUUUACUUUUAUAUGUGAUAUACACUAAGUUUUUUUUUUUUUUUUUUGCAUGACUUUAAUUAUGUGAAUUUUCCAGGAAUGUCAGUAUCAUAUAAAUCCAAAGGAAAAUUGUAGUUUACUUGUUUGGAAAUACUGCAUCACAUGGCUUUUGGUAUUUAAGUCACCAAUACAGAACACUUGUAAAAAAAAAUUUUUUUUUUUUUUGCAAAAGGGAUAAGAUAGAGAUAUAACGGAUUAUUUUGGCACUUUUGAAGAUAAAUGGGAGUGCUUUAAAAAUCAUGCUUGGAAACUGGGCAUAGAUUGGAUUGUCCCAGGAAAAUUGAGUUAUUCAAAAGAGUCCGGAAAGUGUAGUUUUUAGCUUUCCAGCCCCCCAGUACAGGAAGACAGCAGAGGUCAGAAUAGAUAUUGUGAGAAAAUCUACAUAUCCUUAGUAAUAUCUUUGUUUGAUCUAUCAGCUGCAGUGAGAAAGUGUGUUAAAAUUUCUCUCUAUAAUACUGAAUGGGCAUUUUUUCUUUUUCUUCCUUUAAACUUUCACAUUAUAUUUGUAAACCCUACUUUUUAGUGGCAUACAGGUUCAUAAUAUCUUCCUAGUGAAUAGAAACUUGUAUCAAAUAUGCAAUGACCAUUUACAUUUCUAAAUAAUACUUUUUUUUGCUUUGAAAUGUAUUUUGUACGUAUAUGACAAUCUGGGCUUUAUUUUAAUUUUGCUUGACAUCUUUCAUCUUUUCAUAUUUAAUGUUUCUGCAUCCUUAUGUUUUUUGUUUCUGAUAGUUAGCAUGUAGCUGGAUUAAAAAUGAUACUCUAGAGGCUGGGGUUGUGGCUCAGUGGUGGAGCGCUUGCCUAGGAUGUGUGAGGCACUGUGUUCGAUCCUUAGCACCACAUAAAAAUAAAAUAAAAUAAAAUAAAUAAAAUAAAGGUAUUGUGUCCAUCUACAACCCCCCCAAAAUUAAAAAAACAAAAAAAAUGAUAUUCUAGUGCUUUAUAGAUGCACAUAAAGGUGAAAUGCACUGUGAAAUAUGCACAUAUGUAUCUAGCAUAAUUUUGUCAUUUUCAUUCCACUGUUUCCCAUCCUUCUUCUCUCCCCUUCAGUUCCCUUCCUCUCUCUGCUCCACUGAUCUCCCUUACGUUUUCAUGGGAUUUCUGUCUCCCAACUUUUUUUCUUAUUUUGAACUAGCUUCUGCCUAUGAGAGAAUGUUCAAUCCUUGGCUUUUGGGUCUGGUUAUUUCACAUAGCAUGGUGUUUUCCAGUUUCAUUUAUCAGCAAAUGCCAUAUUUUGUUCUUCUUUAUGACUGAGUAAAACUCUAUUGUGUAUAUAUACAGCACAUUUUCUUUACUUAUUCAUGUAUAAAUAAGUGGAAAAAAGACCAGUAGAGAAAGGAAAAUGGGAGGGAAGAGGGAAUGGGAAGGGGAAACACUGGGGCUUGAAGUGAAGCAAAUCAUAUUCCAUGCUUAUAUAAUUAGGUCAAAAUGAGCCCCAGGAUUAUGUGAGACUACAAUGCACUAAGACAUAAAAAUAUCAGUCUAGGUUUUUAUCUGGCAAAUGUAAUCUGUUUAUGUUAAACCACAAUCACUGCUUGAUUUGAAUCCAUUUUUAUCUUAUUUUCUAACCCCCCCUUUCAAUAUUUCCCAUUUAAUUGUCUUUCAUUUUGUAUUAACACCAGUUGUCAAUUUUUUCUACACUAGUUUUGAAAAUAACAUACUACUUUAUUUCAUUUAUUUUAAGAGAUAGAAAUUUUAACAGAUACACUUAAUAACAUAUAAAGGAAAUUAAUAUCUUUAUUCUCUUUCUGUAAGAAAUUAAAUGUCUUAACAUCAAUCCUUUACUCUCCUUGAAUAAUUAUCAUUGCCAGGAAUUUAGUUUUACAUUGAUGUUUUGACCCUUCAAAUCACCAUACUUGUUAUCAUAUAUAGUCCAUAUUUGUUUGUUUACCAAUUUCUUUGUUUAUUAUUCCCUUUUACACCUAAAACCUACUUUCUAGGAUCAUUUUCUUUAAGUACUUUUUUUAUAAAAAUUUUUGUAGUGAGUUUCUAUAUAUUCUAUCUUAGUUUUGCCUUUUUUUUUGGAAAAUAUAUUGAUUUCAAAGUAAAUUUCCUUUGGUAGAGAAUACUAGACUGACAUUUGUUUUCUUUCACUAUUUAAGCCCAUAUCAUUUUACAGGUGUCAGAGAAACCAACCAAUAGUUACUGAGAAAUCAGCUAUUGGUUAAUGUAAAUUAUUUGUAGGUAAUCUAAUCCCAGCCCUUCAUUGUUUUAAAGGUCUCUUUGCUUUUUGUAUUCUGCAGUUUCACUAUACUCAGUUGAGAUUAUUUGUUCUCUCAACCCCAACCUUUUUUUUUUCCUUUGUGUUUACUGGGUUUCUUGAGUCAGUGGAUUUCUUGGAAAAAUUCUUGAUCUAUUAUUCUACCUCAUAAUUUGUGUUAAACCUUAAUAAUAGAUUUUGAAUUGGACAUAAGUUGGGCCUUCUCAUUUAUACAUAUCUCUGGAUGUCUUUUGCAAUUUUUUCUUUUCUGUAUUACUGUUCUGUUUUGUAUAGUUUUUCAAACCAAUCUUCCAAUACUCUCCAGCUGUAUAGUUUAACUCGCCAACUGAGUUUAUGCUUUCAACUCUUAUGUCUUUUUAUUUCUAGAAGUUCUAUUUUUUUAUUUCUCUAAAGUUAUUUGUUAAUUUUUAUAAAUGGUUUUUUUUCUUUUGUCAUACUCUCAAAACUUAUAAACACCAGAAAGAUGUUGAACACAUUUAUGUUCAAUGUUGAUAAUUAUAUAAUCUGAACUGUACAUGAUUCUAAUUACACCACUUUUUGUUCUGACUCAAAAUCAUGGUAGCAUGCUUCCUUGUAUAUUUAGUGAUUUUUAAAAUUUUGAGCUGAUGUUAUUAGAAACUUUAAUAAUUCUUGGAGGCUUGAGUUUAAAGUAUGUUACUCCAAAGAGGAUUUGCUUUAUUUGUGUGAAUAACUUUGGACCAUUUAAAAUGAAGAUUUUAAACUGAGAUUAUCAUGUUAAAUUUUGGUGUGAGUACUUGGUUCAAAGAAUAUGAACUUGUGUUUAAAAAGGUUUUAGGGCUGUAUGCUUAUGUGUGUUCACACUUGUGCAUUUUUUUCCAUCUAGAAUCUAAAUUGAAUCAGGUAUUAUCUUUACUAACUUUUGUAUGUGGCUAUUUUUUCUUUCCUCUGAGAACUGCCUUUUGGGAAUCCUGGUUUUACACAGUGGUCUCAGAUUUGAUCUCCAACCCUGUUCAAGUUCACAUUUAGUCCCUUGUCUCCAGGACUUGUUAAAAGCCAGGCUUUAAGCUUCUAGAAAUUGCCAAAAUCCCUGAGGAUUCCCAUGCUUAUUUACCCCUAUUGAUCUGUUCUAUGUGCCUAACACAGAAAUAUAUGUUGAAUUGAAUUGCCCACGAGAGUUGAGUUCAUUCUAUGUGACAUUCUGAAGUGUAAUGAGGGGAGCCAGGGCCCUAACAAGAGCUUUAGCUCUAUUUGAGGAAUAAUGUUCCCAAAUUAGUUGAUCAUCCUGGUUACCAGAGGAUUCAUGAACAGGCCAAACAACUGCCUACUGGGGGUGUGAUCAAGGGACUUAGGUGUGGAGUUUGUUUGGACUGAAACGCUGCCAUCUUCUGAUCCUUGCUUGUUGCUGACCCGAAUGGCAAAAAUUAACACCAUGAUAGACUCAGGAAGAAGUCUCCAUUUCCUUGGCUAUGCUGAGAGUUUAGAAGAUUGUCUUGCCAGAUCUGUACUCUUCCCGCAAAUGGCUCCUUGACACCUGGCAGCAGAGUUCUGUGGCUCAGUAGGCUGUGCCAGAGCAUGCGAUCCCUGGGCUGCCUGGAUCUGCUGUUCAUGUGGCCACGUCUUCAGGCCCUGUCAGGUGGCCAUGGUUUGUGUUGGCUGCAUUGCUGCUAAGGGGGAGGUGGACUGGGGCACGAUGAGUGAGCAACAGGUGUUACCAGGAGUCUAGACAGAAAAGGAUCCUUAUACCCACAGGAGCCUUGGUUUAAAAUAGCUCGUUCCCCAAACAUUCUUCUAGUGGCGCUUGGCCGUCUGGGCUGUGGUUUAAGAUCAUUUGGCAAUUCUCAUUCUGGUAAUCAGAGAACAGCUUCUGGGGCUAUAAAAUCAUCAGCAAGUUAAGCCAAUUAGCUCAGCCAGGAAAGGAUUAUGUACCCCAGCUUUGGUACCAGGCAACCAUGCAAGUUGAUUUUACAAAGUUUGUGUUCUUGCAUACCGUUUUCCUCCAGGCCAGAAAAGUUGAACCUAGGGCUUGGCCUCAGCAGGUGACAUCUUUGGGUCCUUUUUAAAUUGUCCAUGGAGAAACCGGGUGAAAAGUGUUCACACUCUCAUGCAUGGUGUAUGUAGCAAGGAGAGGAGGAGUCCAACUGCAAACAUGGGCAAUCUAUGUGAAGAGUAGUAAAAUGUCCCUUUCCUGGUUGGGAGGAAUUAGAUGCUUUGCAAUGCUCAGUCAUGAGGGGCUAAGGUGGAACCCACGCUAAUCACAAGGUUAAAGCCAGUGGGUCAAUCCAGAUGUAGGCUAACGGGACUCUGUACCAUGUUAGUACAAAUUAGUGCUUCAGGUUUACAUGUGGGGUUAUUGACAGAUAAUGUAAUGUUAUUCUGGCACACAAAAAGAAAGUAAAUUCAGACAUGCCUUUGGAAAGCAAGCACCAAGUUAGUAAUGGGACAUUUUCUUCCUCAAAUGGUUUCUUUUGUGUUUUGGCCCUUGUUACAGUAGCACCUUCUACUGCUUACAGAUGGGAAUAAAAAAGACAAGACAAGGAAGAGUGUAAAAAUAGUCCACCCAACCACAGAAAACUACUGCUAACAUUUUGAUGAAUAUCUUUCCAGCUCCUUCCUUCGUCUCUUUCCUUUUUCAGAAAUGGUGCCAGUCUUGUCACAUGCUUUCUCACUUCUUAUAUUAAUUCAAUCAACGGGUGUUUAAUGAAUGCCUUCGGUGUGACUGACACUGUUCUAGGUUCCAAGGGAACAUUGAUGAACAACACAGGGCCUUUGCCCUCACGGAACUAUGUUCUAGUGAACUUUCUAUAGCAAGCAUAUUUUCCUAUCAAUAGAUCCGUUUAUAAAAGAGUUUUUAGGAGUUACCUACUAUCUCAUUAUAUAGAUGGGUUUUCAUUUAAUUGUAUCCUAUGGCUGGAAAUUCAGAUGAAUUGUAAAUUUUAACUAUUGCAGAGAGUGAUUUGAUGAAUAUUUUUGUAGCUGAUAUUCACAUGCAUCUUUAUUAAAGAUAGAGGCUGUAAUGAAAAAUUCAUAAAACUAAAUAUUUCCUAAGGUAGGGAGAAUAAAUGUGCUCUAUUUGUGUUCUGCAGGCAAUUAGUCCCAAAGACACUUGAGCCCAGAGGGUAUCACUGACAGCCUUGGCUAACUGCACGGCUAGGGUUGGGGCAGACAGGCCACGUGUGGAUGUGUUUCAGCUGACCCAGGUGGAUGCCUGGCAGCACUUGACCUACAGAUCAAUUAAGGACAUUUAUGAGUUUUAGGAGUCUUAAGAAGCCCAGAUGCUCUCAUUGUGGUUUUUUAAAAUAAAGGUGUGCUGCCCCAUGAUGACAACCACAUGAAAUUAUAUUUUAGGAAUCUGAAGAAAAUAAUUCUGCACAAGCACACAUGUGUGAGUUGAGCACAGCCUACGUUUGCACAUUGAGGGUUGGCAAGGAUGCAGUGUAUAUAGAAGGAUCAGCUUUCAGCAUGGUUUCCUAUAUACUAAGCCCUUGUGAAAAGUAUGUGAGAUGAAGCUAUGAGAUGGAUCAGAUCAAAGGAACUAAGGGUUUCUUUCACAUGGCGCCCUAACCUUAUAGAUGGCAUUCAUGAGGCUUUAGAUUUCUGUGUCUUGUGCUCACUGGAGGAAGCACAUUCUUCAUUUGCAGGAAAAAUGAGCCCACAAUACUGGGACCAAUGUAAGGACUUUGCUCUUAUGUCCUGCUCUUCACCAAAUUCUGUCCAGUGUCCCUGACAUAGUGUCUUGCAUAUGUUCUUGAAGCCCCAUUCUUCCUCACCUGAACAACUGCAGAGGCUUUCAUGGGUCACCUUGUUCCACUUCCUUCCAGUCCAGUUUCCACAUAAUGACUAAGUUGUCUUAGGGAAGUGGACAUUUCAUUGUGUUACCACUGGGUUAAAAGCCUUACAUGGCUUCCUGUGACCACUGGGCAAAAUCUACCCUUUAGAGCCUGGCAAGACCCUCUAAACUGCCAUGGUCUACUGGACCAGUCCUGUUUCCUACCACAGACCUCACCUGUUUUUCAGCACAAACCACUUGCUAUACCCUGGGAGUGACAUCAAUUUAGGUCUCUGCAUCCUUGAAGAUGCUCUUCUCUCCUGCUUGGAAUUCCCCCACUUUGUCCCUUAGUGUGUUUCAACUCAUAUGGAGGCACCUCUUUUUUGCAAUACCAUUGCAUGAUGUCACUCUUGGUGUUAUAACUUACCAUGCUACUCAUAUACUUGUCAGCUUGCCUGGAUCCUUUACUGGACUUUAAACUACUUGAGAAUCAGGCCCGAACCUUAAUUUUUUAUCACCUAUCCUAUUGUGAUGCCUAACAUAUAUUUGUUGUUGAACAGAUAUUUAUAGAAUCAUAAAUAUUGGAAGGGUGGAUACAAUUUGGAUUGCAAAAAUAUUUUCUCUGAUGCAAACCUAAUCAGAUAUAAUAUAUUCAUAGUUUUUAGUUUUGUUUCACAUUUUCAGAUACAUUCAAAAGUAUUUUAUCACAUAGGAUUUGUUCUUAUACAUGCAUCCCUUGGACACAUGAUUUGAUGUUGCAAACACACACACACAAACACACACACACACAUUAUUGAACUAGUAAAUGGUAAAUUCUAACACCAGAUUAUCUGACUCCAAACAAUGAUCUUGAUUUCAAUACUCUCCUAUCUCAGGAUUUUGGUAUUUUGAAUGCAAGAGAGGAAGUUGGAAAUGAAGAGAAAGGGAAAUGUGAAAAUGUUAGAAUAGCAACAACAACAAACCAACAACUCAAAUAUUAUCCACGGGUUAGUAUAUAGAUAUUAACAAACAGGAAAUUAUUUUCUUCUUGGUAUUUUUCCAAAUAACAUUCUCCCUUAGAAGGCAGUUAGAUGGGACAAUGUGUAUAGUAAAUGGUAAAAAAUUAGCUAUUACACUUACUUCCCCAAAGUUCUUGGCCUUUUUUCCCCCCUUCCUUAUUCUCAUGAAUCUUUCAAGAUCCCUAAUAGAAAUAAAUCUUCAUGAGGGGAAGCUCAAGGCUGCCUGUAAUGAUAAGUAGAAGGCCAUUAAAUAUUCUUUCCAGAAUUUCUUUAGACCUUCUUCCACCUCCUGUCCUACCACCUUUAUUUACUCCCUGAAAUCCCAUGCUUAGGUUUUUCCUAAGGUCAUAUUCACAGAUCAAAUGUGAGUUAAUAUCUCUGCUGGAGUUGAAAGUUAAAACUUUAUCUUUAUGCCUCUGUGGUAAUGAGUUUUGAGCUUCUUUCCUAAAAAAUAUAUUUUUUUUUCUAGAGCAGGGUAUCCAAGGCUACAUUUAGAAAGAAAUAUCUGGUAAGGAAAAGUCUGAAGAAAGCCGUUAGUGGAAUUAAGGGCUCUGCAGAAAUCAUCGCUGGGAUAACACUGAGGGCUGCUACUCACCCUCCUUCUUGCCAUCUUGUUCAGAAUGGUCCCUGGAGUGUAUCUUUAAUAUUCUGAUACAGUCUUUUAAUAUAAUUCUACAGGUCAAUUCAGUCCCCUGAUAGGUAUGCGGUGAGGAGUUAUGUUGGGGAAGAAGAAAGAAAGUCUGUUUAUCUCAAACACACAUUUUGGAGAAACUAGAACAGAGCCUGCUGGUAGAACUGGGUCAGAACACAGCCCAGUGGGUAGAACUAAUGAAGGACAAGAUAACUUCAUAGAUGGGGGGGGUGGAGUAUGGUUGAAAAUGUCACUUCCCCCAGACCUGUUUUUUAAAAAAAUGAUAAAAUAUACAAUAUGUCAUUUUAACCAGCUUUAGAUGGACAGUUCAGUAUAUUUACGUUGUUGUACAACUAUCAUUACCAUCUGUUUCUGGGGUUUCUUUCACAGUGGAAACCUUGAGCCAAUUAGAUAACAACUCUCCUCCUCACAACCAUCCCAGCCCUUGGCAAUUACUAUUUUAUUUUUUGUCUAUAAAAUUGACCACUCCAGUUAUCUGUCAUGAAAGGAAUCUCACAGUAUUUAUCCUUGUGUACUGGUUUAUUUCACUUAGCUUAACCCUUUAUCUUCUGUCAUCCCAUAUGUAGGACACCUAUACCUUCUUCUUGAGGGCCAUUAAAAUCCAUUGCAGCAGGCUGUACCCACUGAAAGCCUCUGUAGGCUUGGCAGUGAGGCUAGACACUGUUGGUAGCCAGGGGAGAUUCUGUUCUUGUUUAGGAACUAGGCCACGAUUUACCAUGUUUGAUCCUAAUUUGCAUUUUGAAAUAGCUGUCUCCUGCUUCUGGUGGUUCCUGCCACACCAUACAGCAUGUGGUUUCCGGGGUGGUCUUAGGAGGUGUUGUGCUGGUCAUGUUGACAGCCAUGUCGGGUGUUGGAAGAGCUGGCCAGUGAUUGCCAGUCUCCUGGACGCUUGCCUUGUCCAUUGCCUGGAAGCCUUGUCAUGUCUGACAUGGCAGGGUCCGGUUUCCAGGGGAAAGGUUCUUUUGGGAUUUGUAUGAAAUCUUGGCUGUCCUGUCUCCCCAGAAAAAUCUGAGCAAGCAGCAGUUGUAAUUAAUACUUGGUGGAUCAUGCCCAACGGAGAGUUAACUCCUGACAGUCCAGUGUUCUGAAUGGGUGGAACACAUGGUGUUGAUUGGGUGCUAGCCAUGCUUGCUAAUGAAGAAUCCACUUUACUUAUUUUGGCCUUGGGGUUAGCCAAGGAUAGGAGCCCAGAAAUAAAGUAGUGCCCUAAAAGCUGCCUCCCACAGCUCUGAUUGCUUUUCUUUCACUUCCUCCACAGGACUCGUUUCAAUUCAAAGUUGCUUCUAUAUAUUUUAGGUUCUGAGUAAGACAAUUUUUUUUUUUAAAAAAAGUUUUAAUUGAAGUAAAACACAUACAAAAAUCGUACAAAUCACAAAGAACAGAUUGAUGAAUUCUCUAAAACUCAUGUAACAUGCAGACCAAGAAAUAGAAUAUUCGUAGGGUCCAACAACCACCCUGCCUCCAUCUACAUUACAAGGGGUGCAGUGUUCUGAUUUCUAAUAUCCUAGAUUAGUUUUGCCUGUUUUUGAACUUGAUAUAAAUAGAAUCACAGGUGCCUACAAUUUUGAGGGUGGGUCCUUUUACUUAGCAUCAUAUCUGUGAGAUUCACCCAUAUUUUUGGGUGUAGUUGUAACUCAUUCUCCUUGCUAUAGGACAUGCUACUGUAUAUCAUAAUUUAUUUGCCUAGUCUAUCCGUCCAUGAUGAACCACUGUGGGAUCUGAAACAAACAGAAAAAUUAGUAAAACUAAGUCUGCCAUUAUUAAGAAUUUUGAUGUUUCAUUCAUGGGUUUUUGUAUUAAUUUUUAUUUUGAAAUAUGGCUUUCAAUCUUAUUUAUCUUGACUUUGAGGAUUUUUGGCAUCCCCCUUAAUUUUGCUCCUAAGGAGUUUUUUCACUUAUUUCACUCUGUUCCCAGCCCUAUCAACUAUAGAGGAAUAUAUGGGUUGUAUACGGUUUUUUGGCAAUUAUGAAUAGUAUUGCUAUUCACAUUCCUGCACAUGUCCCAUGGUGACCGUGUGUAUGCAUUUCUGAUAAAUAUACAUAUACAUACCAAUAGGUAAAAUUUCUACCAGAAAGUUUAUUUUUUUGGUGUUGGGGAUUCAUCCCAGGGGCAUUUCAUCACUGAGGCACAUCUCCAGUCCCCACCCUGCCCUUGUUUUAAAAAAAAUUUGAGACAGUUUCUCGUUAUGUUGCUGAGGCUGGCCUCCAACUUGCGAUUCUCUUGCCUCAGCCUCCCAAGUUUCUGGGAUCACAGGUGUGCUCCACCAUGCCUAGUUCUACCAGCAACUUUUUGAUGAAAGGACUGAAUACAGGGCCAUGAGGCUUUUGUUUUCCUUUCCACGUGUCAGCCUCUCCUCUCCAGCCCUAACACACGAGGCUGAGUAUGUCCUUCUGUUGGCAAGAGAUGUGUGAGAAGCCAAAGCACUGGGCACAUUGGCAUUGAACAUCAGGACUUGGGGAGGCCUAAAGAACCAAUGAUGAGCAGACGAGGUGCUCAGAGAGCACAGAGCAGGCCUCUACUAGACAGAGGCCUUCUGAAACAAGAUUGUCUGAGCUAAACUAUGGUUAAUGUCGUAAUGACAUACACUUACAUGAUUUUUGUAUAUAGAUGUAAUCAUUUAGAUUAUUUUACUUUAUUCAGAGUCUCUAAAUGUUCAAAAAAAAUUUCAAAUUGAUCUGUUAAAAACAACAACAACAAAAUUUGACCUUUGGUCUUUUGGUAUUGACUUGGCAUGGGGGGUGGAGAGAAGAAUAGAUGUUCAGUGGAGUGGACAAACGGGAAUGAAGGGAAGGGAGAAGGACGGAAAAAGGAAAGACAGUGGAAUGAAUCCGACAUCACUUUCCUAUGUACAUAUAUGAAUAUGCCACGGCGAAUCUCACCAUCCUGUACAUCUACAAAAAGUUAAUUAAAAAAUCUAACUAUUGGUAAAUGGCAGAAAGACCAAUAGAGAGAAGGGAGUAGGAUGUGGGAGGAGAGAAGGGGAAGGAAAAGUACUGGGGACUGAAUUAGAACAAGAUAUAGUCUAUGCUUUAAAAAAUAUGUCAAAAUAGAUUUUGCUGUCUUGUGUAACUAAAAAGAACAAUGACACAAAAUGGAGAUGUGUCAAAGUUUCCCACUAGUUUUGAUUUUGUAAUAUCUUUAAUUAAUGAAAUACUUUGGUCUCAAUAACACAUGACUAUGAAGUGAAGUUCCCUUUGAAAUUACUUAUCCCUCUCUGAGGUUAGGAACAAAGAAAAAUAUCUUCUUUCAUCACUCUCAUUCAACAUUAUACCAAAGUUCUAUCCAAUGCAAUAAGGCAGGUGAAAAAGAGGCAUAAAGUUUGUAAAGGAAGACAUAAAACUGUCUGUUUGCAGAUGAUAAUGAUUAUUUAUGUAGAAAAUCGCAAAGAACUAACAAAAGACAUUCCAGAACUUGUGAGUUUAGUAAUGUCAUAGGAUACAUGAUCAAUAAUCAGAAGUCAAUUGUAUUCUAUUUAUUAGCACAAAUGUUUGGAAUUUGAAAACUACAAAAUGAUAAUACUUUCAAUAGCACAAGAAUAUUUAAAUGUAUAUAAAACAAAACAUGUAAAGGAUCUGGAUGUUUAAAAUUAUAAAACAUUGAUGAAAGAAAUAAAAACCCAAGACCUAAUUAGUGGAGAGAGAUGCUGUGUUCAUGAAUUAGAAGUCUCAAUGUUCAGACAUCAUCUUUCCCCAAUUUGACCUGUACAUCUAAAAACAGUCCUCAUCAAAGUCCCAGUGAGAUUUUUCUUAAUGAUAAGCUGAUUCUAAAAUUUGUAUGGAAGACAAGUAAAUUAGAAUAGACAAACAAAUUCUGAAAAAUAAGAACUCACAUUACCUGCUUUCAAAACACAUUACAAAGUUAUAGUUAUAAAAAUCCAUAGAAAUAGUGAGAGGAUAGACUUACAGAGGAAUGGAACAAAAUAUGUAGCCCCGAAACAAACUCACACACAUAUAAUCAAUCAUCUCCAAGGGCCUAGGGGACAAUGGCCAUUCAUGGAACAAAGAUUGUUAUUUUCUUUCCUUUUUUUAUUGUCUUUUUUUUAGUUCUAUAUGACAAUAGAAUUUAUAUUGACAUAAUUAUAAAAGCGUGGAAUAUAAUUUGCUCGAGUUCAGUCUCAAGUACUUCCCCAUCCCCUCUCUUUCUCCCACACUGUUCCCUUCCCUCUACUCUAUGGAUCUUUCUGCUAUUAUUUUUUAAAAUUAAUGUCCUGUGAAUAUAUGUGGUGGUGAGAUUAAUUGUGGUAUAUUUAUACAUGUGCAUAGAAAUGUUACAUCAGAUUCAUUCCACCAUCUUUCCCUAUCCUAUCCUUCCUCCCUUCCCUUCAUUCCCCUUUUGUCUACUCCACUUAUCAUUUUUUUCUAUUUUUUUUAUCCCCCACCUUAUUUUGGAUUAACUUCUACAUAUCAGAGAAAUCAUUCGACCUUUGACUCUUUGGAACUGGCUUAUUUCACUUAUCAUGAUAGUCUCUAGUUCCAUCUGUUUACUGGAAAAUUCCAUAAAGCCAUUCUUUAUGGCUGAGUAAUACUCCAUUGUAUGUACAUACCAUAUUUUCUUUAUUCAGUGGCUGGUCUUUUCAACAAAUGGUGCAGAAAUAGUUGGAUGUCCAUAUGAAAAGCAAAAUAAAGCAGCUUGGCAUGUAUAUCACACUUUAUGAAAAUAUAAAACUUAAAACUAUAAACUUGUAGAAGAAAAUCUAUGUGACUUGGGAUUUGGCAAAGGUUUUAGAUAUGACAUCAAUGCAUAAAAUGAAUACUCCUGAGUCUUUGCUGAUGUAAAUAAGUACAUAUGGGAGAAUUCUAUGAAGAAUUCUAUGAAGAAGAAUUCCAGUGAAUAAAUAUAGAAGGAAUGAGGGAAAUAGAAACAUUGCCAUUAGAACACCAUAGUAACAAUUGCUGCUGGCAAGAUUGGAGUAGACCAAGGAGACAGCAGUGGGUGAUCCUGGAGUAUACCCUGGAGCAAUCUGAAUAAGGUCUGUAGUUUAGUUCAGUUGAUAGUUUUGUUCCAAUGCUAAUUUCUUAGUUUUGAUAAUUGUACAAUGGUUAUGAAAGUGGUUUAGCUUCAAAGAAGCUGGGUGAAAAGCAUAUAGAAAAUCCCUAUCACACCUAUAACUCUUCUGUUAGUUUAAAAUUAUUUCAAUAUAAAAUAAAACCAAAUCCCCUAUACUCACCUUUCCCCCGAAAACAGAGAAUUGUGGGAGCAUCCUGUUAGUUUUAUUUUUAAAAGCAGAUUCCAGAAAACUUUCCUCUAGCUCUUUCUAAGAGUUUCUCCCAUUUUCUCUCACGCGUCCUUGGCACUGUGUCUGACUUAAUUGCAAAUAAAAUGAUUCCCACUAAAUCUUCACUUUGAUGGACACAGCUGCCCUCCAGCAUACUGGCCUUGAAGAAGGGAAGCUCUUCCUUUGGCUAGUCCAUUUUAAGGAUGUCUCUAGGUCCUCCCUCAAUCUACCAUGUCAAAUUAGAGUAUAGAUUGUGUUUUUUAAUAGUAUUACUGGGUAUAAGAUAUAAUAGAAUAGAAAGUUCAAAAAAGGUUCAUAUAUUUAGGGCCCAUCAUUUUUUCACUAAGGUGUCUAGUCAAUUCAUUGGUGUGUGUGUGGGAGGAGAGUCUUUUCAAACAAAUAUUGCUGGAAAUAUUGGAUACUGGUAAAACUGAAAGCAAAUCCUUUCUCAUUUCUUAUAUAAAAAUAUUUUUGAUGUCUUAUACACAUAUGUGGAAAACCCAGACCAUAAAUCUUAUAGAAAAACAUAAACAAAUGUCUUCAUGAACUUUGUGUAGGAAAGCCUCACUGGAUAAUGUUCAAAGAACUAAAGAAGAAAAACAUUUGGUAAGUUGAAUUUCACCAAAAUUGAAAAUUCCUGUUCAUCAAAGUAUACCAUUGAAAAAUGAAUAGAUAAAUCAUAGACUAAUAAAAAAAAUACAGCACAUAUAUGUGACCAAGACCUUGUAAUCAGAAUGUUAAAAAUAAUCUACAAAUCAACAAUAAAAGAUGUAAAACUCAAUAAAAAUUGGAAAAAGUCAUGAAUAAAUAUUUCAUAAAAAAGAUAUAUGGAUGACUAAUAAAGUGUUCAAGAUCAUUGGCUAUCAGAUAAAUGCAAAUUAAAAUGCCAUACAUGAAUCUGAUUCAACCCCACUAGGAUGACUAAAACACAAUUUUUUAUUAUAACUAUUAACACAUAUUGUACAAAUGAAUGGAUUCUCUGUGAUAUUUCCAUACAUGCAUUCAUUAUGUGUUGAUCCUGCCCACCUUCCUCUUCAUCCUCUGGGCCCCCUUCCAGUCCCUACAAAUUCCAUUUCUACUUUCAGAUAAUCUUUAAAAUUUUUUUUCCAUAUAUCUGAGAAAACAUGCAUUACAUGUCAUUCAGUGUCUGGCUUAUUUCACUUGAUAUGAUGGUCUCCAGUUUCAUUCAUUUUCUGGCAAAUAACAGGAUUUCAUUCUUCAUGGCUAAAUAAUACUUCAUCGUGUAUAUAUGGCAUAUUUUUAAAUUCAUUUAUUUGUUGAUAGGCACCUAGGCUGGCUACACAUAUUAGUUGUUGUGAAUAGUGCCACAAUAGACAUAUGCGCAGGUAUCUCUUUUGUUGCUGACUUAAUUUCCUUCUGGUACAUACUCGGCAGUGAGAUAUCUGGGUCAUAUGAUAAUUCUAUUUUGAGGAAUACACAUGUUUUCCCCCAUAGUAACUGAACUAAUUUAUGUUCCAAAUAGUUGUGUAUAAGGGAUUAUUUUUCUUCAUGUCCUUGCCAACACUUUUUUUUUUUUUUUUGAUAAUGGACAUUCUAACUGGGGUGAGAUGGAGUCUUAUUGUAGUUGUGAUUUGUAUUUCCCAGAUGGCUAAUGAUACUGAGCAUUUUUUCAUACAUUUAUUAGCCAUUUGUAUCUUUGGAGAUGUGUCUUUUCAGAUGCUUUGCCUGUUUUCAAAUUGGAUUCCUUGUUUCAAUUGUUAAGUUUUUUGAGUUCUUUAUAUUUUCCUGAAUAUUAAUCCUCUGUCAGAUGAAUAGCUGGCAAAGAUUCUCUCCCAUUAUGUAGGUUGUCUAAUAAUUGUUGAUUGCUUUCUUUGUUGUAAAGAAGUUUAUUUAUUUAUUCAUUCUAAUUAGGUAUUCUAAUUACGAAUUUUGAUUCAUUGUACACAAUUGCAGCACAACUUUUCAUUUCUCUGGCUAUACAGGAUGUAGUGUCGCAUCAUAUGUGCAGUCAUACAUGUACCUAGGGUAAUGAUGUCCAUUUCAUUCCACCAUCUUUCCUGCACCCAUGCUCCCUCCCUCCCCACCCUCCCUUUUUCCCAAAGUUCCUUCAUUCUUCCCAUGCUUUCCCCCUCCCUGUUACAGAUCAGCAUCCACUUAUCAGAGAGAACAUUUGGUCUUUGUGUUUUUGGGAUUGGCUUACAUUGCUUAGCAUGAUAUUCUCCAAUUCUAUCCAUUUACCUUCAAAUGCCAUAAUUUCAUUCUCUUUUGAUGCUGAGUAAUAUUACAUUGUGUAAAUAUACCACAGUUUCUUAUCCGUUAAUCUAUUAAAGGGCAACUAGUUUGUUUCCACAGUUUAGCUAUUGUGAAUUGAGCUGCUAUAAACAUUGAUAUGGCUGUGUCCCUGUAGUAUGCUGGUUUUAAGUCCUUGGGGUAUAGACUGAGGAGUGGGAUAGCUGGAUCAAAUGAUGGUUCUAUUCCAAGUUUUCCAAGGUAUCUUCAUAAUGCUUUCCAGAUUGGUUGCACCAAUUUGCAGUCCCACCAGCACUGUAUAAGUGUGCCUUUCCCCCACAUCCUCGCCAACACUUACUAUUGUUUGUAUUCUUAAUAGCUGCCAUUCUGACUGGAGUGAGAUGAAAUCUUAGAGUUGUUUUGAUUUGCAUUUCUCUAAUUGCUAGAGAUGUUGAACAUUUUUUCAUAAGCUUGUUGAUUGAUUGUAUAUCCUCUUAGAAGUGUCUGUUCAGUUCGUUGGCUCAUUUAUUGAUUGGGUUAUUUGUUUUUUUGGUGUUAACGUUUUUGAGUGCUUUAUAGAUCCUAGAGAUGAGUGCUCUAUCUGAUGUGCUUGUGGUAAAGAUUUGCUCCCAUUUUGUAGGCCCCCUAUUCACUGAUUGUUUCUUUUGCUGAGAAGAAGCUUUUUAGUUUGAAUCCAUCCCAUUUAUUAUUCUUGGUUUUAAUUAUUGCACUAUGGGAGUCUUAUUAAGAAAGUUGGGGCCUAAUCUGACAUGAUAGAGAUUUGGGCUUACUUUUUCUUCCAUUAGGCACAAGGUCUCUGGUUUAAUUCCUAGGUCAUUGAUCCACUUUGAGUUGAGUUUUGUGCAUGGUGAGAGAUAGGGGUUUAGUUUCAUUUUGCUGCAUAUGGAUUUCCAGUUUUCCUAGCACUCUUUAUUGAAGAAGCUAUAUUUGCUCCAAUAUGUGUUUUUGGCGCCUUUGUCUAGUAUGAGAUAACUAUUUAUGUAGGUUUGUCUCUGUGUUUUCUAUUCUGUUCCAUUGGUCUAUAUGUCUGUUUUGGUGCCAAUACCAUGCCAUUUUUGUUACUAUAGCUUUGUUGUAUAGGUUAAGUUCAGGUAUUGUGAUGCCUCCUGCUUCACUCUUCUUGCUAAUGAUUGCUUUGGCUAUUCUGGAUCUCUCAUUUUUGCAAAUAAAUUUCAUGAUUGUUUUUUCUAUUUCUUUAAGGAAUGAUGUUAGGAUUUUAAUUGGAAUUGCAUUAAAUCUGUAUAUUGUUUUGGGUAAUAUGGCCAUUUUUUAUAAUUUUAAAAAUUUAUUUAAAUUAGGUAUAUAUGAGUAGUAGGGCCAUUUUGACAAUAUUAAUUUUGCCUAUCCAAGAGCAUAAGAGAUAUUUCCAUCUUCUGAGGUCUUCUUCAAUUUCUUUCUUUAGUGUACUGUAAUUUUCAUUGUAGAGGUCUUUGACCUCUUUUGUUAAAUUGAUUUCCAAGUAAUUUUUUUGAGGCUAUUUCCUAAUUUCUCUUUCAGAGGAUUCUUCAUGGAUGUAUAGAAAUACAUUUGAUUUAUAGUUAUUGAUUUUACAUCCUGCUACUUUGCUGAAUUCAUUUAUUAAUUCUAGAAGUUUUCUGGUAGAGUUUUUUAGAUACUCUAAGUAUAUAAUUAUGUUAUCAGCAAAUAAUGAUAGUUUGAGUUCUUCUUUUCCUGUUUGUAUCCCUUUAAUUUCUUUCAUCUAAUUGCUGUGGCUAGAGUUUCAAGGACAAUGUUGAAUAGAAUAGAAAUGGUAAAAGAGAGAGCAUCCCUAUCUUGUUCUAGUUUUUAGAGGAAAAGCUUCCAAUUUUUCUCCAUUUAGAAUGAUGUUGGCCUGAGGCUUAGCAUAGAUAGCUUUUACAAUGUUUAUGUAUUUUCCUACUAUCCCUAGUUUUUCUAGUGUUUUGAACACAAAAGGGAGCUGUAUUUUGUCAAAUGCUUUCUCUGUAUUAAUUGAUAUAAUCAUAUGAUUCUUAUCUUUAAGUCUAUUGAUGUAAUGAAUUACAUUUAUUGAUUUUCAUAUGUUCACCAAACUUGCAUCCCUGGAGUGAACCCCACUUGAUCAUGGUGCACUGUUUUUUAAAUAUGUUUCUGUAUGCGAUUUGCCAAAAUUUUAUUGAGAAGUUUUGCAUCUAUGUUCAUCAGGGAUAUUGGUCUGAAAUUUUCUUUCCUUGAUGUGUCUCUGACUGGUUUUGGUAUCAGGAUUAUACUAGCUUCAUAGAAUGAGUUUGGAAGAUUAUUCAUGGAAUAAUUUGAGGAGUAUUGCUAUUAAUUCUUCUUUGUGAAUUUAACUCAGCUGUUAAUUUGUCUGGCCCUGGGCUUUUCUUGGUUGGUAAGCUUUUGAUGGCAUCUUCUAUUUCCUUGCUUGAAAUUGAUCUGUUUAAAUUGUAUAUGAAAAAAAAAAGAAAAAAAAAUAAAAUAAAUUGUAUAUGUCCUCUUGACUCAGUUUGGGUUGAUCAUAUGCCUUUAGAAAUUUGUUGGUAUCUUCAAGGUUUUCUAUUUUACUGGAGUAUAAAUUUUCAAAAUAGUUUCUAAUUUUCUUCUGUAUUUCAAUAGUGUCUGUUUUGAUAUUUCCUUUUUCAUCAUGAAUUUUAGUAAUUUGAGUUUUCUCUCUCAUUCUUUUCAUUAGGGUGACUAAGGGUUUGUCAAUUUUUACUUUUCCAUAAAAUCAACAUUUUGUUUUGUCAAUUUUUUGAAUUGUUUCUUUUGUUUCAAUUUUAUUGAUUUCCAUCCUAUUUUUAAUUAUUUCCUGUCUUCUACUAAUUUUGGGGUUGGUUUGUUCUUCUUUUUCCAGGACUUUGAGAUUUUUAUUUAGGCCAUUCACAUUCAGAUCAUUUAUUUGUUGACUUUUUAUCCUUUUAAUGAAUGAGUUUAAUGCAAAGAAUUUUCCUCUUAGCACUGCCUUCAUAGUGUCGCAGAGAUGUUGAUAGGUUGUAUCAGAAUUCUCAUUUACCUCUAAGAAUUUUUGUAUCUCCCCUGAUGUCUUCUGUUAUCCAUUCAUCAUUCAGUAGCAUAUUAUUCAGUUUUCAGGUGUUAGAGAGGCUUCUAUUUUUUAUUUUAUCAUUGAUUUCUAAUUUCAUUCCAUUAUGGUCAGAUAGAAUGCAGAAUAAUCUCUCUCUCUCUCUUUUUUUGUAUUUGCUAAGACUUGCAUUGUGGCAUAAUAUACGGUCUAUUUUGGAGAAUGAUCCAUGUGCUGCUGAGAAGAAAGUGUAUUCACUUGUUGUCUGAUGGGAUAUUCUAUAUAUGUCUGUUAAGUCUACAUUAUUGAUUGUUUUAUUGAGUUCUAUACUUUCUUUGUUUAGUUUUUGUUUGGAAGACCUAUCCAGGGGUGAGAGAGGUAUAUUAAAGUCAUCCAGUAUUAUUGUGUUGUGGUCUAUUUGAUUUCUUGCAGUUGAGAAGGAUUUGUUUGAUAUACAUAGAUACUCCAUUGUUUGGGGGCAUAAAUAUAUAUGAUUAUUAUUUCUUGUUGAUGUGUGAAUCCCUUAAGCAGUAUGAAAUGUCCUUCUUUAUUGCUUUUCACUAACUUUAGUCUGAAGUCCACUUUAUCUGUUAUGAGAUAACCUUUCACCUUCAGUCUGUGGAUGUCUUUUCCUGUGAGACAGGUCUCUUGAAGGCAACAUAUUGUUGAGUCUUUUUUUUUUAAAAUCCAAUCUGUUAGCCUAUGUUUUUAAUUGAUUUUUAUUUAAGCCAUUCACAUUCAGGGUUAUUAUUGAAAUAUGAUCUGCAUCUUGGGCAUUUUGGUUUAUUUUUGGUUUUUAACUUGACUUGGUUUUUCCUUUGAUGGGCCUUUCCUUUAGUGUGUGAAGAAGCUUUUUAAUUUGAUGUAAUUCCAUUUGUCAAUUCUCUAUUUUAUUUCCUAUGCUUUUUGAAUCCUAUUCAGAAAAUUUUCUGUGCCAACAUCUUAAAGUAUUUCCUCCAAUAGUUUCAGUUUCAGGUCUUACAUUAAAGUCUGUGGUCCCUUUUGUAUGUUUUUUUUUUCUUUUUAUACAGGGUGAGAGAUGAGAGUCAAGUUUCAAUAUUCUGCAACUGGAUAUCCAGUUUUCCCAGUUGAAGAGACUGUUAUUUCUCUAGUGUAUGUCUUUGGUAGUGUUGGCUGAAGAGGCAGGAUUUGUUUGAUUCAUUUAUUCUGUUCCAUUGGUCUCCCUGUUUUAACAUCAACACCAAGCUCUUCUUGUUAUUAUGGCUCUGUAGUAUGCCUUGAAUUUGAGUAUUGUAAUGACUUUGGCUUUACUUUUCCUUGGGAUUGCUUUAGCUAUUUGGUGUCUUUCAUAUGAAAUUUAGGACUUUUUUUUUUAAUAGUUUUAUACACUGAAUCUGUAGGUCACUUUGGAUAGUUGGACAUUUUAACAAUAUUAUUAACUAUUUCAAUCAAUGAUCUUAGGAGGUCUUUUUACCUUUUAGUGUCUUAGAUUUCCUUUUUUACUGUUUUGUAAUUUUCAUUGUAGAUAUCUUUCACAUCCUUAGUUAGAUUUAUUCCUAGGCAUUUUAUUUAUUGGUUUAUUUUUGUGGUUAGUGUGAAUGGGAUUACUUUCCUGAUUUAUUUCUCAGUGAAUUUAUUAUUACUUUCUAGAAAAGUUACUGACUUUUGUAUGUUGAUCUUCUAUCCUGCUACUUUAUUGAAUUUGUUUAUCAGUUCUAAUAGUCUGUUGGUGGAGUAUUUAGGUUUUUAUAUGUAUAGAAUCAUAUCUGCAAUCAGGAAUAAUUUGACUUCCUCCUUUCCUAUUUGUAUGCCUUUUCUUUCUCUUGCCUAAUAACUUUGACUAAAAUUUCUAGUACUAUGUUGCCUAAGAGUGGUGAGAGUGGAUACUCUUGUUCUUCUUACUUGCUUUCAAGAAAAUGCUUCAGUUUUUAAUAGGUUUGUCAUAUAAGCCUUUAUCAUUUUGAAAUAUGAUCCUUCUAUACCUUAUUUGUUUAGGGCUUUUACCAUAAAGAGAUGUUAAAUUUUAUUAAAUGCUUCGUCUGCAUCUAUUGAUAUGAUCAUGUGUAAUUUUUUUAACCCUUGAUUCUGUUUAUGUGCUAUAUUACACUCAUUGAUGUGCAUACGUUGAACCCUCUGUACAUCUUGGAAAUGAAACCAAUUCGAUCAUACUGUAUGGUACUUUUAAUGUGCUGUUGAAUUUGAUUUGCAGGUAUUUUGUUGAGUAUUUUUGUAUCUAUGUUCAUUGGGGCUACUGGUGUACGGUGUACUUUAUGUUGUGUGCAUGUCCUUUCAGGUUUUCAGUAUCAGAGUAAUUAAUGUUGCCCUUAUAGAAUGAGUUAGGAAGGGUUCCUUUCCUUUCAGUCUUAUAUAAUAGUUUGAGAAUCAUUGGUGUUACUUCUUCAAAAGUCUGAUAUAAUUCAUCAAUGAAGCCAUCAAGUUCUGGACUUUUCUUUGUUGGGGAGACUUUUUAUUACUGAUUUAAUUUUUUAGAAUAUAGUUUUUCAAAAUAAUUCAUAAUGAUCCCUGGAAUUUAUCUUGGUAUCAGUUGUAAUGUCUCCUUUUUCACCUCAAAUUUCAUUUUAUUUGAGUCUUAUUCUUGGUUCAUGAGUUAAAUUUAUAGUUUCAAAGAACCAACUGUUUGUUUCAUUUAUCCUUUCUGUUGUUUUUUUUAAUUAAUUUUUUCUUUUCUUUCUUUCUUUUUUUCUUUUGUAUUUCUGUUGAUUUUUUAGCCUCUAUUUUAUUUGUUUCUACUCUGAUCUUUAUUGUUUUCUUCCUUCUACUAAUUUUGAGUUUGGUUUGUUCUUGCUUUUAUAAGACCUUAAGAUACAUCAUUAGGUUAUUUGCUUGAGAUCUAUCUAUCUUUAAAAAAUAUACACGUUUUACACACACACACACACACCUAUAUAUGUAUAUGUGUAUAGUUAUAUAUAUGUGUGUGUGUGCUCUAAUAUGUGCCUUAGUGAUUAUUUAGAAAAAUCACCUAAUUCAUAUUGAUCUUAAGAAACUGAAAAAUGUUUAUUUAGUCAAAAUUUAGUCAAAACAACACAAUGAUGUUAAUAUAGAUGGGAUCUGAACUCAGGGUUUUCAUUUCUGAAAAUAGUCCUUUUUCUUUUCGUUUAACAGUUGGAAGACUUGGGUGUAAAGGUAUGAAAAUUAUGAGGCCAGAUGAAUGCUGCUUAUUAUUUUAUCAAAUGACAAAUAUUUGUUGUGUCAUAGUCACAGGUUAUACACUAAUAUGUGGGUGCUGGGAAGACAGAGAUAGAUAAAAGAUCUGACUUCAGAGCAUUUUUUCCAUUUAUAUAGGGAUCCAGGCAAGUGAAUAAGUGCUAAUAUUUCAGUAGAGCACUGUGAGAUCCCUGAUCUGACUUCAUAGGGAUUAAAGAAAUAUUUUUGUCUGGGUUUUGGUUUUCCCCAAUGCAGACUUUGAGAUAGAGGUGAGAGGAAGUGAGAUAGAGGUGAGAGGAGUUUACUUGAGAACAGAUUUUAGGAAGGUGGAUGAGAGAGUGGGAAAGCAAGAGAGGGGAGGGAGAGAGACCAAAACUAGGUGAGUUUCUGAGCAGGUUUCUGUUCUGGGUGGACAGGAGUCAUUCACACUAGGGACCACCUAAGAGAUGGACAGAGAAUAGAGGUCUACUGAGGGGUGAGCAAGUCAGAUGAGCAGGUUUCCCAGAAACUCACAGUCUUUGCUGGUCCAGGGCGGCCUGAUAAGUGGGAGGAGCAGUGAGAUUCAGGGAGCUGUUGGUGGGUAUGGGGGACAGUCUGAUGAAGGCUGAGGGGCCAAGUGCUUAGUGGUAGGGAAGUACCAGCAAGGUCUGCUAGGCUUCCCUGUGGACCUGAAAUCUGAGUACCAGUUAACUCACUGCAAUUUGCCACAAAAAAGUUUUGUACAAAGGUUCAGAGGUAAAAAGAGAAUAUGAUACAUUCAGUGAGUUAUGAUGAAGGUUUUUUUUUGUUGUUGUUGUUGUGAGGGGGUAUGUGCAAGGGAAGAGGGCAAAGAGGGAAAUGGCUAGAGAGGGGUUAGGGAAGAGGUAUAGACUGAAAUACAAGGGUUGUGUGGUCUGUAUUAGUGAUUUUGAAAACUUUAUCCUGAUGGCAAAAGAGAAUCUUUGGAAGUUUUACAGGGGCGUAAGAUCCGGUUGCAUUUUCAAAUUAUUCUGGUUAUUGUGUGGAAAGCAGAUUAGAGUGUGGUAUGGUUAGAAUCAUGAAAACCACUGGGGAGACUGUUGCAGUGAUCUAGGUGAGGGAUGAUGGCUGAAAUAAAUCAUGCUAACCAGGGUAGAAAGAAGUGCUUGGUAGACACAGUUAAUAGGAUUUGGGUGGGGGGUGGGGAGGUGGAGAGCCGGAGAAGGUAGAGUACAAAUGGGAGAUGUUGAGAGAGGAAAAUAAGGACCAGGACUUCCAGGUUUCUGACCUGGGUAUUUGUCAUUUCCUGAGACAGGAACACUUUAAAUUUGAGCUGUCAGUAGGAGAUCCAAGGAGGAGUUAUUUAAUAAGCCAUAGGAUAUGAAGGUCCUUAAUUCCUUUGGUAGAUCUGAUUUUCAGACUUAGAUUUAGAGGUACUCAGCCUAAAGACAAUGGUUGAAACUGUCAGAUCAAAUGAAGUGGCCCCCCAGGAGAAAAGACAGAGAUUUAUGGGAGGAAUGGGUAAAAACCUAUUGAAAUGUGAAUCCUACCGGAGCUGCCUCUCAAAGUGUGUUUUGCUAUUUUAAUCUGGCCACAAAUGAACCUUCUGUCUCCUAACUUUCAGAAAGUGACAUGCUAAAGGCAGGUUGAAGCUGCAUGCACAACGCCUGGAGCCAGCUUUUCCUGAUUAAAGCUCUCCUCUGGCUCAUGGUGCUGUAUCUGUGGCUGUCCUUGGCAGGGCCUUUUAUUUUGUGAGAACCUUUUUGGAAAGACUGAUUUUUCAUCUUAUUUCUCCUCUGGUUCGGCCUCAUGCGGUAAUAUUUAUGUUGGCCCCUUGCCUUUCUUUUACCAGUUGGGAUGAGUUGUAUUCCCAUAGCCAUUUCCCCCUCUGUUUUGGAGAAAUAAAAAAUGAAAAUGCCAUGUUUGGAGCAGAUGGUUUGCCAAAGAUGUGUCUUUCUUUUGCUGACAUGAGGAAGAAGGCCCAUUUGUUCCAGAGCAACCUAUUUCCAAAAGUAAAAGCAUAUUGGCUAUCCUGGCUGUGGGGAGUGAGGGUGGUUCCCCCUUUGUGGGAAUCUACUUCCGUAAUUCCACGUUUGCACUUCUCCUUGGUAAGUGAAAUUCAUUUUCCAACAGGAUGUGCAAAUUGUGAAUCAUUAAUAGCCUCCCCAAGGCUUUCCACUGGCCUAAUCCAGUCUUACAUUCUGCAGAUUGGUUUUGAGCUUUCAUGUUUAAAAGACACUUCAGUUAUCACUGAGACGCACCAUUGCUUGUGCUCCUAUAUGGUUCUACCAACAUAUCCUAAGCAGUCUGUUUAAUUUUGAGGGUAUUUGUUUAUUAAAACCCCCCUCUUUAAAAAAAGAAAUUUCCUAGGCCUUUGUUUUACAUUUCAAAGUCAUGCAGAAUUACUCCAAUGUUUAUUCUAGAAAACAGCCUUUACAUAUUUAAAUUUAAAAAUUUAAAUUCCCCUAUAGUAGUGGCCUCUUCGUUUCCUCUCCAAGUUUUCCUACUGUCUUCUCCUACAAGGUUUAUAAAGGUUUAUACAUGUUUUAUGUAACCUGGUCACUGUUUAUUUUUUUAUUUUUUGAGUGAAACCAAAUCCAAUUCUUUCAGUUUAGGGUCUACACUUUAAAACAGAAUGUAAUAAAUUAAAAUGGCCACAGUUGUGAAGUUACUUGAAACUCUUCUAGUACCACUUUUUUUUUUUUUUUGUAUUAGGCACUCUGCCACUGAGCUACAUCUCCACCUUUUAAAAACCUUAUUUUACUUUUUAAAAAUUUGUGUCAGGGUCAAACUAAGUUGCUUAGGGCCUUGCUAAAUUGCUGAGGUUGUCCUCAAAUUUUGAUUUUCCUGCCUCAGCCUCCUGAGUUGCUGGGAUUACAGUACUGUGUUACCAUGCCUAGCCUUGGGAUAUCAUGUUUCUUUAUAUAUUUUAAAAUUUUUUAUUUGUUCUAAUUAUACAUGACAAUAGAAUGCAUUUUGAUACAUUGUACAUAAAUGGAGUAUAACUUUUCAUUUUUCUGGUUGUACAUGAUGUAGAAUUGUACUGGUCAUGUAAUCAUUUAUGCGCAUAGGGUAAUAAUGUUUGAUUCAUUCUACUAUGCUUCCUACUCCCAUGCCCCCUCCCCUCCCUUCACCCUCCUCUGUCUAAUCCAAAAUGCCUGUAUUCUUCCUUAGCCACUUCUCCUUAUUGGGAAUUAGCAUUCGCAUAUCAGAGAAAACAUUCUGUCUUUGGUUUUUUGAAUUGGCUUAUUUCUCUUAGUGUGAUAUUCUCCAGUUCUAUUCAUUUUGCAGCAAAUGCCAUAAUUUCAUUCUUGUUUGUGGCUGAGUAAUAUUCUAUUGUGCAUAUGUACCACAUUUUCUUUAUCCAUUCAUCUGUUGAAGUAUACCUAGGUUGGUGCCAUAAUUUAGCUAUUGUGCAUUGAGUUGCUAUAAAUAUUGAUGUGGCAGCUAUAGUAUGCUGAUUUUAAGUCCAUUGGGUAUAAACCAAGAAGUGGGGAUAAUGAGAUCAAAUAUUGGUUCCUUUCCAAGUUUUCUGAGGAAUCUCUAUACUGCUUCCCAUAGUGGUUACACCAAUUUGCAGUCUCACCAGCAAUGUAUGAGUGUGCCUUUUCCCCCACGUCCUCACCAACAUUUAUUUUUGCUUGUAUUCUUGAUAAUUGCCAUUCUAACUGGAAUGAGAUGGAAUCUCAGAAUAGUUUUUUUUUUCAGUUGUUGACCUUUAUUUAUUUAUUUAUUUAUUUAUUUAUUUAUUUAUUUAUUUAUUUAUUUAUAUGCAGUGCUGAGAAUUGAACCCAUUGCCUCACACAUGCCAGGCAAGUGUGCUACCGCUGAGCCCUGGCCCCAACCCUUCAAUGUAGUAUUAAUUUGCAUUUUUCUAAUUGCUAGAGAUGCUGAACAUUUUUUCAUAUAUUUGUUGAUCGAUUGUACAUCUUCUGCAAAGUGUCUGUUUAGUUCCUUAGCCUAUUUAUUGGUUAGGUUUUUUGUGGUUUUGGUGUUAAGUUUUUUGAGUUACAUAAAUAUAAUCUGAAGGCCAUUUUGGGGAUAACCACUUUAUCCUCUUGCCUUUUAUUCUGUUGAUUAUUAAAUAAAACUUCAUAUAUUUUCACUAGAACUACCAUCUUCCUUAUCUUGCAAUUAUGUGGAAGAACUUAUUUCUUCCAGUUAAGUGGCAUAUUCUCUUUUUGGGUGUUUAUUCUGUUAUAUAGACUUUAGCUAUUGACCUCAGGAUCAUGUCCUAUGUACACUUAAGCAUUGUUUCUACUUCAAUAAAUGAUUGAAAGAAAAGUCAUUUAGAAAGGUGUCAAGGAAGGAAAACUAUAUCACAUUAAUUUGCAGCACCUUUGUCUACAAAACAUUCCAGUAUUAAUUCACUUUGGUUAAUAUUCUGCUUAGCAAAAGCUUACUUAUGUUAUACUGCAGUAACAUACAAUCACCAAAUCUCAGCAGCUUCCAGUAAGCAUUUAUUACUUACGAUUUGUACUGAACUCCAGAACUCCAAUAGUUCUUGGAGCUUCUGCAAGUCAGAGGACCAGUCCCACCAUCAAUGGGCUGAGGAUGUAUGCCCCUAUAGGAAUGCUCUGAAAGAACCUGACAGUGAGUGGCAGUGAAUAACUAGAAAUAAUUCAACGACUAUUGGUAAAAAUACUUAACAUUUGCAUAUCAGUUCAUAAAAUGUUUUCACAUUUCUCUGUGUUAAUUCUCACAACCAUUAUAGAGACAAAUGUUGCUUUCUCUCUUUAUCAAAUGAGGUCCUAAGAGAAGUAUCUUGUUAUCGCUAGUAAGAGGCAAGUUAGGACUUAAUCUCUAAUAUUCUGAAGCCUAAAUGUUCUUUCCGACAAUGAGGAUGAUGAUGACAAUUAUUAGUCACACUUCCAGACUAUACAUGGCUGGUGUUGUCCUCCCGCGCACAUUUCAGUGUUCUCCUGUCCUGCUGGGUGAGGCAUGUAGGUCUAGCUGCCUCAGUAGAUGAACCUCAACAGCUUAAUAUGAUGGACAUUUAUUUCUCGUUCACAUCAUACUCCAAUGUGGGUUGAGUGACUCUCCAAGGCAGUGCUUUUCUGCAGGUGGGGACCUGGGAAUCAAGGCUGCUUCCAUCUUAUAGGGGGACCAUGUGGAAUAUGGGACUUCCAAGGCUGCCAUUGCAGGGAGUCAGGGGAGGAAGAGAGAAAAGUGGAGAGAGAUGGAGGAAUUGGCUCACACAGCUUCUACAUCAUAAAAAAAUCAUAAGACCUCUGAAGUUAUUCUGCUGAAAUAUUGAUACACUGGACCAACUAUGACCAUAGUAAAAAUGCAGUAUAACUUUGUUUAGCAGGGUUAAUUAUCAAUGUUUAGUGAUUGUUUUUCCUUCUCGUAAGCUUUGCAAUUUUGGACCCAAAGAGGCAAUAAGCACAGGACAGUGGAUUUCUCAGAGAAAAUUAAGGAGCUGAUUUUCCCCCUGACCCUGUGCUUUGCUCUACUUGCUUCUCACAUUUUGGAGCAAUCUUGGGAAGGACUGAGGUUAUUAUUAUUUUUUUGUAUUAGCUUGGAAAUGGGGGCUCAUACUGAGAAAUAAAGUUGUGAUAAAAAAAAAAAUCAAGAAAGCUACAUCUCUUGUGCUCUUUAGUCUGUGGCCUGAGAUGAAUAGCUAGUCUAUUAAGAAAGAACAUCUAAACUAACUUGUGUGAGGAUCAAAUUCACCAUUGUGUUGUUUGUGGAUUCUGACCCUCCCCAACCCCCAACCCCGGGCAGCAACCCCUCUAGCAGUCUGUGGCACCUCUUGUGGUUUUCUGUGGCUCCUCACUGAUGACUGAGCAUGAUCAUUUCAUCCAGAUUUCAUAAAAGGAGUCAGAGCCAGGGUAUAGCACUGAUUCUGAACAAAUAGGUCAUAUCUUACGAACUCUUAAAUUACUUUGUAUUUUUAGUCCCUCUUAGUCAAAUUCAUCCUACAAGUUGCAAAAGAUCUUUUUAUGACAAAGAAACUGGAAGCAAAUAGGAGCAGAGGAAUCAUGGAGUCCUUCAUUAGUGUGGUAAGAAUCUCAGCUUCAGCCUAAAGAGUAGUCAUCCUGGAAGUUAGGUGUGAGGCUAUCUGCCCAGAGCAUUGUGUAGCCAGCUUGACAGUACUUGGGGUUUGAGGAACCUCCAUGGACAGAAUGACAGAAGGAGAUAAGGAAAGGAGAGUGAAGACCAAGGAGCUGGCCUAAGGCAAAUGGGCCAGUUAUCACAGGGAGUGCUGAUUGUGAGAACAGCCCAGCAUGUGUCACCACAACUGUCCUCUAAUCUAGAUCUGGCACUAGGAGUGAGGGGGCUGUCAUAAGAGCAGGUGAGUGCUGACAGGACUAUUUGUUAGUAGAUUUGUGGAUCACUAAGAAGGCAAACUGUGAGCAGCGCUGGUGUUGGGCAAUAGAGAGGUUGAAAGUGGUGGUGGAUCUUUUAGCAAUAGCAGCAACUGCCACCUUUGAUGUUGGCCAUAACUUCUACCGGGAGAGUUAGAAAAGGAAAAGAGAAAAAUGGCAAUCACAGCUAUAAAACUCAAUGGCUGGGCUGGGGAUGUGGCUCAAGCAGUAGCACGCUCGCCUGGCAUGCACGCAGUGCUGGGUUCAAUCCUCAACACCACAUACAAACAAAGAUGUUGUGUCCGCCAGAAACUAAAAAAUAAAUAUUAAAAAAAUUCUCUCUCUCUCUCUCUCUAAAAAACAAACAAACAAACAAACAAAAAAACCCCAAUGGUUUGGUAUUGUUUUUACCCUUGGGGAUUCCAAAAGACGUAGGAAAGGAAAUUUGUGUGUGUGUGUGUGUGUGUGUGUGUGUGUCUAGUGAGUGUAUAUUAGAAGUCCUACAAAAUGGCUGGGGUUGAAGCCAAGCAAUAUUAUUUGUGUCUGUUAUUAUGCUAUUUUUAUUUCUAUGUUUGUGUAGGCUAGGAAAUAUAAGUUAUAUAUUACCUCAUUUGACCCCCAAAGCUUGUACACCAUUAUUGUUCUUCUCAGCCUAACAUAAGUAAACUAUUCCUUUUAUUUGUCAUUUUACUUAGUAUGCGCCUAAUUUUGUUUUGGCUUUCAACUCCUGACCCUGUGUUUCAGCCUUUUCUAUUUGUUCUGGGUGUUUCCCCUUCUCUCAUCCUUUGAAUUAUUUUUAAAAAGGCCUAAUGUAUUAGCAAGAUCCCUUAGUAUCCAUCUUGUCCUCUGGAAACAUCUUUUCUCCCAUUUCUUUUUUUUACCUAAGGCUGUGAACUUGUCUUUCUGCUCUUUCUUUUUAAAGAACCAACUUUAAAAAUGUCUUCUUUUGAAUACCAAAGUUAUAAUUUUACAUUGUAGUAAACUUUUGAACUAUCAAGAAGAAAAAAAUUACCAUAAUUCUAUGACCCAGAGAUAAUUAGUGUUAACACUUGACAUCUUUCCAGUCAUUUUCUAUGUAUAUCUAUGCAAAUACUACAUGUGUAUAUUAUGUGUAUAAAUAGAUGUAUAUAAACAUAAACCUGUCAUCAUGAAAUUGGGAUCAUACCACACGUGACAUUUUGUAAACUUUUUUCACCUAUAAAUAUUUUAUGAUUGUUUUCCAUGUCAUUCAUUUUCCCAGAACAAUAUUCUUGAUGAAUCCAAAAUAUUUUAAAGCUUUGGACACAUCUUGCUAAUGCUUUCUGAAUAGGAGAUAGCAGUGCUCCCCCAUCACCAAUAGCAUUUAAGAACACGGUUGCUGAUUUCCUUGCAUUCUUAUCAGCACAAUUUCAAAAUUUCUGUCAAUUGUCUAGAUAAAAAUGGUCUUAUUGUUAAUUUGCAUUCCUUUGAUUGCUAAUAAGACUGAACAUUUUUCACAUUUAUGGCUACUUGUAUUUUUCUCAUGAGUUGCUUGUUUGUGCGUUGACAUGCAUUUGCAAUUGUAUUGUUGGAAUUUAGUUUUGCAGAAGUUUCCUAAUUUUUCUCCCUUUUCUUUAUCAAGAGUCUCAGACAAGUGAUCGUUCUGAUAUCCUAUCCAAGGAUUUGAAAGUCUGCUUUCCUAAAGCCUACACAGCCAUCACCUCCCUCACAAUCAAUUAAUGUCCUGGUCACUUCUCUUUGAUUUCAUUUUGCCUCCAAUACUUAAUCGAUCAUGUCAGAAUAGUUUGCUCUCAUCCCUUCAACCCCAUGAUUGAAGUCUUUGCACCACUGAUGCCAGAAGACUGAAUAAAGUAGACAGAGGAAAAAUCCUUGAAGAGGGUUCAACACGGAGCUGCAUCUCAACAGGAAAAAUGAAUGUGUGUGGAAUCAUGCAGAGAGUCUUAAGGGUGCAUACGUGGGGAGGCAGGCUGAAGAAGAUUUCUGUUGGUUGGAUGUUUUCUUAAUCAGUUUUUCAUCAAUGUGACAAAUCCCUGACAAAAACAAUAUAGAAGAGGAAAGAUUUAUACUGGCUCAUGGUUCCAGUCACUGCUUCGGGCCUGUGGUGAAGCAGAACAUCAUGGUGGAAGGGCAUGGCAAAGGAAAGCUGUUCAGCUCAUGGCAGCCAGGAAACGAAAGAGAAGAGAAGAAGGGCCAGGUACAAGAUAGAGUCCACAAGGGUCUGCCUAAGGACCUACUCCUUCAAUUAGGUCCCACCUCCUACAGCUCCCAUUAAUGCCUUCAAAUUAUUAACCCACUGAUGAGGUCAGAGCCCUUGAUACCGCCCGGUUUCGUGAUGAGUUCUGCUCCCUCAAAUGUUGAAAUUUGAACAUUAGAGAAGCACAACUGAGGCAAGCCUAUAAAGCCGGUUUAAGAAGGGGUAACACAGACUUCUCCUGGGAGGGAGAAGGGGGCCAUAGUUGGUAUCCUGGUAUCCCAAGAAGCGAGGUAUUCUGCUCUUUUUAUAUGUCCUAGGCUUCCUUUGUUCUUCUGCCUUUUCCCCAUUAUUUUUCUCCUUCUAGCUUAUGUGACUAGGCCCAGGACUAGGCCCAGGAAUGUUUGGUGGGACGGGCCAAAAGGUGGGAAACAGGUGGGCUGAAGGGGGAAGGGAAGGAUGGUGCAGUCCUGGACACAUUAAUUAACAACUUUAUAGCUCCCUGUAGAGAGGGGCAAUUCCUGGGUCAGGUUACCUUAGCAACAGUUUGGAGCCAUGGCAGGUUCUUGAUAAGGGUGGAGGAAGGAUUCUGAAGGAAUUAACAUUUCAAUUCCUCAGGGGACAGUCUCCAACUUCUGGGGACUCACUCAAAAUUGGCCUGACUCAAUUUACUCAAUUUACUAUACUGACUGCCUGUCUAAUUCUGGCUUCGCCCUCAUCAUCCAAUCACUUCUCCAAAGCUCUACCUCUGAACAUUGCUGCAUCCAGGAGCAAGACUUCAACACAUCCAGAUCUGAACCAUAAAAGAUAUGGUAUCAUGAUCCAGGAAAAUAUGGUUAGAGGCCAAGAUCAAAUUCAGGGGAAGUGGACAGAACUGAGGUCUGGAACUUAAAUUGUGAUGGUGAACAAAGAACAGGACUCUCAUCCUGAGACUGUUAGAAACAGGCCCCCUGUUGGGCAAAGGCUGGGCUGGGUCUACAGCACUAUUACGGGUAGAAGAGAAGGCCUUCUCAUCUAAGUUAGGAAGUCAAGGUGAGACAUGUUGAAGUGCAAUGGAGCCCAUAAAACUGGGUAUGGGAGGGGCACACCACAGGGUUGAAGUUGGCCAGGACUGAAUGAAUUGUGGACCAACAACAAGAAUCUCUUUUGAACUUCUACCAGCUUCCUCAUUGCCAUGGACUCCCUCCUCACUGAGCCAUCUCCCAUUGCUUACUUCUGCCUUGUCCCUGUAUGGAGGCUCAUUUUAUUUUAAUUAAUUUUCCUACAUGCUAAACUUUUAAGAUUACCUCUUGCUUUAACUGAAAUUGAUUCUUCAAUGGCCCUGUUGAAGAAAGGAAAGUCAUUCAUUCUUGUACUGCCCAUCAUUGCCCAGGGAAGGUGUUUCCUCAUGUCACACUAAAAGCUUUCUCUUGGAUCGUCAUGCCAGUCUCUUUUCCUUUGGGUUUUAUGCAACCUAGCUAUUCCACUCCCCCUCACCCUGUCAUAAAUGUCACUUUCAACAUUUGUGAUCACUUUGUAUCCAACAUUUAUGGGGAGUUUGGAACCCUGCUAAAGGUUAUGUUUUUGCUCCAAUUUUUGAUUGCCUUUAAUUUCUAUUUAAUAUUUCUAGUGAAAAUUAUUUAACCUUAUGGGGUGUGGUGGCACACACCCGAAAUCCCAGGUACUCAAGAAGCUGAGACUGGGAGAUUGCAAGUUUGAGGGAAACUCAGUUAUACCGUGUCUCAAAAUAAAAUUUUAGAAGGGCUGGGGAUAUAACUCAUGACCAUGUAUUCCUUAUAGCAGAAGAAAGGGAGCCUUUUUGUGCUGGGUUCAAUGCCUAGGACUAGAAAAAAAUUAACCUCUUUGUCUGCUGACCCUCCCUUCGGUUCUGUUUAAGCUAACCACUGAGAUGACUUUCUCUGCAGCUAUCACCAGGAUGCCGAGUGCAGCUGGAGAAAAUUAUACAUCCUUGUCUGAUGGUUCCGCUAAUAGUUCAUGGUCUUAAACUUGAUCAGGUCUCAACUGAGCUCAUCAGUUCUUCCAUUUUCCCAUGAUCAGCUUUCUUUCCCACAGAGUAUGGUCAGAGCUAUUUCAAGUCCUCAAAUCAUUUCUAUUCUAAUCCCAUCACCUUCCAUCCAGAGACAUGCCCUUCUUUUAUAUCACCUAGGGGAAAUUGAGGUCAUUAGUUGUGACUUUAUUCAUUUCUCUCCUUUAUUCUUCACCUGCUAACUUAUCUGUAUCUACUUUCCUAUAUCCUUUAUCAUAGUAAGACGUUCCUUUCCUGUUGAAUGUGAGUCUUCCCUCUUUGCUUUAUAUAACAUAACAUAUCCUUAUUAAGGACUGAUGUUUGUAUUCCUCCAAAAUUCAUGUUUGGAAUCCCUAACCCUCAAUGUGAGGGUAUUUUUGAGGUGGGGCUUUUAGAGGUGAUUAGGUUUAAUUAGGUCAUGAGAGUGGGAGGCACCCCAAUAGGUAGGGUUAGUGUCUUUAUAAGAAGAUGAAGAAACUGAAGCUCUUUAUUUCUUGGCCAUGUGAGAACACAGCAAGAAGGCAGCCACUGCAAGCCAGGAAGAGAAACCUCACCAGAAACAAACUCUUCCUACAAAGCCCAAGAUCAGGGCUUUCUAGGUUCUGGAACUGUGAGAAAUAAAUGUUUGUUUGUUGAGCUGCUCAGUCUAUAGAAGUUUGUUACAGUAGGUUGAGCAGACUAACAUAUCUUGGUUUACAAAUUAUUCUCACUACAUUCUAUAUCUUUAUUCUUUUCCCCUUACUGAUUCUUUCCUUGAUCCAUAACUAAGCACCUGUCUAUUCCUUCCUACAAAUCCAUUAAUAGUGUGCCUUCUCUCCCAGCCAAACUUCCUUCAAGUAUGGUCCCUGUUGGUUAUCUUAACUUCUUCACCUGCUUGUGGAUUCUCAAUUCUCUGCAGUCUGGCCUUUGACCACAGCACUGUGUGAAAACAUCUCUUACAGAGAUUACCAGUCACCCAAUUGCCAAGUUCACUAGGUGCACUUUGGAUUUAUAUUGUGUGUGCUCUUUUGUACCUGACACUGUUGAUCAUGUCUUUUUCUGUAUGUUUUCCCUUUUGUUUCUGUCACUUCAGUCUGUCAGCUACUCUUGCUCUUCCUGGGUCAUCGUCACCCAUUGCUUGACUCUGGAAUUUUCUUUCUGAUGUUUCCAAAGCUUUGGUGCUUGUUCUUCACUAGCCAUCUCCCUUACCCUCUACAGUUUAAGCUUCUAGUAUCACUUUUAUGUUGUUAGUUUUAGAUCUCCCCUUGAACCCAAGGCUAGGAUAUCUAGCUGCCCACAAGAAGACUAUUUGAUCACCCUGUACUGCUCAAACUGAAAAUUAUGCAUGAUAAACGAUCAUUCCAGAAAUCAGUUUAUCAUUUCUCUAUGUCUCCAAAGCUACAUUCUUCCUGUUUAUUCAAUUUUACAUAUAUGAGAUGACCAUGUAUUCCUUAUAGCAGAAGGAAGGGAGCCUUCUUGUGCUUGAGGAAACUAUUUUUAAUCGAAGAAAGAAGAGGAAGAGGUGAAAUAAGGUGUCUAGAUAUAGAUUUGAUUAUUCUACACAGAUACUUUCCUUUCUGCUUUGCCAAAGAAGAAAUUACCCUGCUGUUUGCUGUUGUCCACAUCCUGCUCUAUUAUAUGUGGCAUGUGAGGAGCCCAGUUUCCUGGGCCUGGGCAGUUGCCCUCCUUUGAAAAAUCCAGUGAUUCUGAAAUUUAGAAUGUAAUAUACUUACCUGGAAAUGGUGUUUUGUUUUGCUUUUGCACCACAGAGAUGGUUCUAGCCACAAAAUUAUAAGACUAUGGUAGGAGCUUAGAAAUCUGUGCUUCUAGAUGCUUCCAGGUUAUUUGUUAUAAGGGUGGUUCACAAACAGUGUUUCAAAAACAUCUUUGCAGUUACCACUUGCUAUUUGUCAUUUUUGUUAGCUAUUAAUCAUCUCUGUCCCUGAAAGACCCAUUUAAAUGUGAUGCUACUCUAUUUUGUGGCUUGAAUCUGUAAGAUCUGUACUUGUAGAUCCUACUGUUGGCCAUAUUUAUACAUGUGCACAAAAUAGCAUUCCAUGAAGCUAUGUUUAUUUCUAAAGGAGAUCAGUUUGACUUCUUUGGAGAUAAAAUUAAGUACAGAUUUUUAAGAAUCAGACACAGUCACAGCUCUUAUUCACUGGGAACAUGUAGUUUUUUUUUUAAGGUAUUCAAAUAUGCUGUUUGGGUUUUGAUUGCAAGCAAACUUCUAUCUUAUUCUACUGUAAAAGUAAAAAAUUUCAAAGCUUUUUCUAGAUAAAUGCUUUCAAACCUAGGCUUCAACAUGAUCUUCUCCAUAAUGUGUGUGAUUGAUCACUAAGAGUUGCUAUUCUGUGCUUUUCUUUUCUAAGGGCAAUACUACCCAUCUGUGGUGCCCUGGUCAAGGAAGUGUUCACAUUUACUCCCUCCAAAACUCUGUCUAAAAGAUUUUUCCUUCUUGACAAUGAUGGAAUUUAUAUCUGAAAAUGAAGAAAUUAUUUACAGGUACUUGUAUUUUUGUGAGCAUUAUAACCAAGAACUUCACAAAUGCUGAAGAGCUCAAUUACAACAAUAGCAUUAAGGCAAGUUAUGCUAAUAAACUUUACAUGACCUUCAAAAUGACAGCAUAGUAAGCCAUUAUUCAGCUUCAAUAUUUUUAAUACUGCUUUUCAGUUGCUAUUUCCUUCUCCAUAAGUAAUAAGACUUUCCAUGUGACCUCUUCUGAUGACUUUGGUGAUACUCAAAUGACAGCUUGUUACUUUUACUAUUUGGUAAUUGCAAACAAUUCUGAGCUUCAACUGGGACCUUUAAAAGAGUUGUUGAAUAGUGCAAGAAUAUCUUCUGUUUUUUGCCUUCAGCAAAGACCUUUAAAGGGUCAGUAGGAGGGGACUGCAGGAGAUAAAUGUGCGGUGGCAUAAAUGAGUGAGUCUUCCCAUUAAUUACAGUAUCUUCCAUUAGUGGUGUUUCAGGCAACAUAGAAUUGAAGGUUGAACAUGAUUGUUGUUUGAGGCUUGCAAUUAUGAGCAGGGCAGGAGUUGUAAGUAUAUAAUUCCAGUCAAGGGAAUUUUCUGUCCUAGAUUAGUUUAGUGCUUGAGAGAAUGGAGUUUGGAGUUAAAAAAAAUAGUUUCUCUCUUGGCUCUGCUACUUACUACUAGCUAGAUAACUUUGGGCACAUUGCUUAAUGGCUCUGCACCUCUAUAAAAUGAGAUUAGUAAUACUCACAACCACUCAAUGAGAGAGAUUUCAUUAGUCUCUGAGUCAGAGUUGUGAGGAUCAACAGAACUAGGAACUAACACUUUUAUUCAUUCAACAAAUGGAUAUCAGCUAGCCACUGUGCUAGCGGCUAGAGACAGAGUGGUUUAGCACAAAAAAUAGCAUCGCUAAUUGCGUGGAGUUUACAUUCUAGAUGAAGUGAGACAUAUCACAAAUAAACUAAUACUCAAGAUAAUUAAAAAUUGUAAUUCAUACUGUGAAGGAAUAAAACAAAGUGGCAUUUAAGCAAUCAAUAUUUAAACAAUUUCCUGAUAUGAAAGUAACCAGGGCAGGGCGGUCAUUUAGAUCAGGUGAUCAGGGAAGGUGACAUGUGAACUAGGAAUGAAGGUUGAGAUCAUCUGGGAUUAGCCUACCAGAUAGAGAGUACUCCUGUGUACGUGUUUUAGGGUAGUCUCCUGGUCAAUUUCCACAAAAACUGUGUUUUCCAAAUUAGGUAAUUUAAGUUGAGGAGAUUGAGUAUAUUGCCCAAGGUCACAUAAGUAAUAGGUCAGCAGAGCUCUGCUUAGAACCCCAAAAUUCAAGUUAAUGACCACAACAUGCCAGGCUGCAUGCAUCCUGCAGGAGGAGAGGCAGCUGAGAGCCUGCCUAGCUCACACAGGAUUCUGUGGAUGAGAAGUGGGAGAGUGUUUGUCAUGUGACUUGCUCAGUGUGGGAAGGACACCACCAGAAGCCAGCUCUUCUGCUCUUGGGUACUUUCUCACUGCACACAUUGUCAAACUGGUUUUCAGUGGAAGUCUUAAUGACCCAGUCAGCUGCACCAUCCAUUUCUAGAUUCUAGUUAGCAGCUGAUUCUUGAACUCUUAAAGUGUGUGAUGGUUUGUUGAAAGCUCAAUUAACUUGGUAGAUUUUGUUCUAGAACACAUUCUUGUUUUUGUUUUCUUUAAAGUACAAGGCAUAUUAUGAAACCAAGUUGAAUGGCAUUUAAAGAAACCAUUUUUCUCCCAGAGGUAUCUCCUCAUAGUCACUUUGAUUUUUCUCCCAAAAAGAAACCAUUGUUAGCACUUCUAGGAAUGUUCUGUGAGUGGGCGAGAAUAUAUGUGUACAUAUCCUUUUUACAUAAGACAAAAUGCCAUAUUGUACACAAUAUUUGUGCCUCACUUUUUUCACUUAACAUUAGAUGUUAAAACUCUGUCAUCAUAUAUUAUAAAUUGAUUAAUUCUUUUAAUGGUUACAUAGUAGUUCUUUGUAUGAGCAAAACUAAAUAUAUUUAUCCCAUUUUAAUCAAUUGACCUUUAAGUAAUUUUCAGUCUUUUGUGAUUGCCAUCAUGCUGCAGUAACAUCUUUUAUUCUUCCCCCUUGCAAUACUGCGGUGUUUUAGUCAGCUUUUCACUUCUGUGACCAAAUGGCCUGACAAGAACAACUUCAGAGGAGGAAAGGUUUAUUUGGGGCUCACAGUUUCAGAGGUCUCAGUUCAUAGAAUGGCCAACUGCAUAGCUCUGGGCCCAAGAUGUCACACAAAAUCAUGGUGGAAAUAUGUGGAGGAGGAAAUCAGCUCAGAACAUGGCUUCAAGAUGCAGAAAAAGACUGAGCUUUGCCCAUCAGGGACAAAAUAUAUACCCCAAAGGCAUGCCCCCAAUGACUUGUCUCCUCCAGCCACAUUAUACCUGCUUAUAGUUACUACCCAGUUAAUCCAUCCAAGUGGAUUAAUGCAGUGAUUGUUAAGACUCUCAUAACCCAAACAUUUUACCUCUAAACUCUCUUGCAUUGUCUCACGUAUGAGCUUUUGGGGAACACCUCAUAUCUAAAGUAUAACAAGGGGAUUGAAUGCAAGGGUGAUAUACCUUUUAUCUUUUGAGGCAGGUUUCUUUAAGUUGCCUAUGCUGGGCAAGUGGGAUCCUCUUUCCUUAGUCUUCUGAGUUGCUGUGAUUCUAAGUGUGUACCUACCACACUCAGCCUCAGUGACAUAUUUGCAGAGAUAUUUUUUGCACAUGUGCACAAAAGAAUAUCUUACAAGUACACUGUAAAAUAAUCUUGUAGAAGGUCUUUGUUAAAUGGUAUGCACUUUUAAAGUUUUGAUGGGUAUUACAAAAUUGUCCUCUGAGGGGUUGGGCAUGACCAUCAACUGUGUUUAGUAAGAUUAUCACCUUCAAACUGGAUGACUGAUAGAUGGCUCCUUUUCCUCUGAAGCUAACUGGGAGGGGGCUUUUUUGGUGGGGAGGGAGAUCUUCAGCCUUCUUUGCUCUGGAUUGUCCUGGGCUUUCCUCCUCUCUUCCCAGCACACUCACAUCUGAGGUCAUAGAAACCCCAAAUCCAGAAAGCAUCUGAGUUUCCUCCUGGCUUGUCCUCUGCACCUGGUCUAGAGGCUCUCAGAGGUCUACCUGGACAUGUAUUUUCCUUGGUUAUAUCCCAUGAGAUACUAUGUCAGGCCUUUAGACCCUUGCUGGGCCUUGGUCCAGAGAGAUUGAGGAAGAUGGAAAAGGGGAGGGGGGAGAAGGGAAGAAGGAGGAAAAAGGGGAGGUGGGAGAGAGCGAGAGAGGGCUAACUUUCUUGUUCUUAUUGCACGUCUGUUCUGGACUUAUUUUCUUUAGAUAUUGAAUCUUAAAGGAAACUUUGAACCACCAGUUCCUUCCUUAGUCAUUUUAAUCUGCUGUUCAUCAGCAGGGUCUUUAAGAUCAGUCACAUCACGGCCACCCAGGUUGUUUCUUUGCUUGCUGAUGUUUAAGCCCACAAGCAACUAGAGUUGGAAAAGACCUGAGGGAGCAGGGAAUCCAGUGUCUUUCAAAAUCUUCUACUUGGAGAGGAAUGAUGUCCCAUGAGAUGCCUCAGGGAUCCCUGAGGGAGACUGGAGGUUGGGAUCUGCAGAGCAGAGUGUAGGUGGUCAAGGUUCUGGGCCACUCAGUUUUGCCUUAAUCAGAAAGGUUACAUUUUUAUCUAGCUUAUUGAACAUCUGUGUAAUAUAUUUUAAAAGGGACUCUGCUGCCUAAGAAAAAAAGUUAAAAAUAAAAUCCCACUGAUUCAGUCUAAUUAUUUCUCUCUCUCUCUCUCUCUCUCUCUCUCUCUCUCUCUCUCUCUCUCUCUCUAUAUAUAUAUAUAUAUAUAUAUAUAUAUAUAUAUUUGUCAAGAGAAGAGAGUUGACUUACUCAAGGUCACCUGGGUAUUUAUUUAAAUGGAGGGAUUUGGACUCUACAGACUUCCAUCCAAUUCAGUGCUUCCCUUAGAACACGGAUGAAGUAAGGACUUAUAAUUGAAGCAUAGAGCCCCUUGUAAACCCCUCAUGUGACAGAGAGGCCUACACCUCUAGUUUAAAUUCAGACCAAACCUUUGUUGAGAUUUCUUCACUCCUUAAAAAAAUAAUUUUCGCUUUUACACUGAACCCAUCUGGGACUAAAUGUGUUGAAAGACUCUCAGCAAAGCUGUUCUCACCAUACAGAUUUCUUUUCGUCUGGAAAUUCCAGAAGGACUUGCCAUAUAGUGUGUCUCAGGAGAAAACUGCUAAGAUACAUUCUCUGACUAUGUUCAUCUGACUCCAUUCCUCUUCCCUCUGGAGAAUUUGGAGAACUAUCUAGGUCUGUCCCAAAAUUUUAGAUCCGCUUGAGGUAUCAAAGCCACCAAAACGCAGGGAUCCUUUGGUGUCUUAUUUCUAAAGUCACCAUUACUAAUCCUAUUUGUUCUAAAAAACUAAUGUUCACCUGCUUCCAUAGGUGCUACAACACCAGGCCAUUGACACAUUUAUGCUGUUAGGGAUUACCUGCAAAAAAGUACAUAGAAAACAGAGACACAGGAGGAAACAAAAUACAUGCACAACAUGCAUAGAAAAUAGACAUGAGGUCAACUCUCAAACAUAUAUUUCUAAGCCCAAACUAAGGCAUCUGAGAAAUGGAUUGGAAAUGAGAAAAUCACAAAAUUCUAGAGAGUAGAAGUUUUAACCUAGGGUCUAUUGGCAGCAGCUCCCUCUGUAGUAGCCCUUGCCGAAGGCAGAAUUUCCUUAAUUCUCGGGUCAGAGUUUCCUCUCCUUUAGUCUUUCCCAGUUACAGCCACUUGAAGCAUCUUUUUUAAAAAGUCAUUUUUGUGGUGUUUAGUUACACCCUUCAAAUGCUUGUGGGUAUUUAUAUCCCCCUUCAGACAUCGUUUGGCCAAGUUCUACAUAUUUAAUUCUUUUACUUUUCCCUCAUAAAUGAAUAUUUCUGGCUCUUUGAUCCUCCCCUCCCCAUGUAGAAGCAAACUGAACCAAGCUAUUGAUGGGCUCAGCCCUCCUUCUCUCCCAACAACAGGGAGGAGGGCAGGUACUUAGUACGCUGCUUAGCCCAGUAGAAGUAUACAGAUGUUCUUAGUGCAAGGCACAGAGGAAGCUGUGGUUUUGAAAGUUAUUUGGAUGGAGUGAUGAGAGAUUUGCAUGGGGAAGUGAGGAGCGACAGAAAUUUAUAUCAAAGGCUUGGCUUCUCGUAUGGGGCCUUCUGGAAUUUCCUUGCCUUAGAAUCCCUCCCUAUGCCAAAUCAGACUGAAUAAAUAGAUCUGGAAAAUCCCAUAGCCUGACUUGUUUACCCUGGCUGCUUUUAUUUGAUAACCUGGAUAUUAGAAGUAUGGUGGGAUUUGGUUUUGUUCACUUCUUAGAACCUAGUUUGAUCAUCCUCCUUCAUGGUGACAUUAGGAAGCCCAGGCAAUCUAUUCUAGUGAAGGGCAUUCAUAGUCCUCCAUGAGGAUUGUCAUUUGGAUUUAGUCUUUGAGAUGCAUGUGUGUGCGUGAGUGUCUGCAUUUCUCUCUUGUUGUGUGGCUGUGUGAGAGUGUUGAUGGAAGCACCCUGUUUAUUAUGGGGUGUGAUGGAGCACAGAUACAGGCAGGGUCUGUGAUUCAGGAACUGGUUCUGGAGCAUUAAGAAAGAUCAUAAGGGCUGGGGAUGUGGCUCAAGCGGUAGCACGCUCGCCUGGCAUGCGUGCGGCCCGGGUUCGAUCCUCAGCACCACAUACAAACAAAGAUGUUGUGUCUGCCAAAAGCUAAAAAAAAUAAAUAUUAAAAAAUUCUCUCUCUCUCCUCUCUCACUCUCUCUUAAAAAAAAAAAGAAAGCUCAUAAAUGCAGGCCUUCAUUAGAAUGGAGGAUUUGCACCAGGUUUGAGGAGCUGAUGUGUGCAGACAAAUGUUACUCAAAUGCUGGGAACAGUGGUGGGCACAUUUUUCUUGGGGCUUGGCCCUGGGAUGCUACAGAAAAUUCUCAGUAUUGCUAAUCAGAGAGGAAAGUGAGUCAAUAUCUCCUUUCUACUGCCAGAUGCUAUCGUUUAAAACUAGACUAAGGUGGAGGGGGAACAAUUAGAAGUAGAAGAAAGAAUGACAGGAAGAACAGAGGCAAAUAUAUAAGGACUCAUGAACUAGAAUCUUUCCUUAACUAGAUUCAGGUGACUUUUAGCUCCGGAGAUUUGUUUAUUUGUUUGUUUUCAUCUUUAAUGCUGCCUGUGUUUUCUCUGGUCUUCUCAAGGACUGACUUGAGGCCAGGACUCUUGAAAGAGGACAUGAACAUGCUGCAGUCCAUUGUGGACUUUUCCAUUAGACAAAUCCUAUCUAAUAUGGCAAAACUCUGUCCCAUCAACAUUGCCCUGGUUUUCUCACUGCAUUCAUUCAUUCCAUAAACUUUUGAGCAACAGUUUGUGGAUAUUCUGUCACUGUCAUUACCUAACAUGGUUGUCUUUUCUCUUUUUUUAAAUAUUUUUUUUAGUUGUAGUUGAUCAAGAUACCAUUAUUUUAUUUUUUUACAUUUUUAUAUGGUGCUGAGGAUCAAACCCAGUGCCUUGCAUGUGCUAGGAGCGCUCUACCACUGAGCUACAACCCCAGCCCCCUGUCUUUUCUUUUUGGUUCUACUCAUAACUCUCACUUUUAUAAAUCAUCAUUCAUUUUUCUCAUCCAAUCAUCCAAUUAAUCAUUUGCCAGAUAUUUGUUAGACAUAUAAUAUGUGCAUGGGACGUAUUUUGAUAGGGAAGUCUAAGUUAUAGACCAGUCUCUUAGGCCUUCAGACUCUAGGUAGUGCAGGCCAAGCUCUCAAAUUAUCUCUUUCUAGCCUCUUGCAUAGGGUUUGGGUGGAGAUGGGAACUGCACAGUACUCUGGCAACUCUCUUCAAAGAAAUCCUCUCUCCUGACCCUCCAACUUGUAUUUCUUAUAUGGGUUAAAGGUAGGUUCAGGGCCCUGUCUCUAUCCUGUCACCCCUGACACUUGUAAGUCUUGAAAGGAUGGUCUAGCAUGAUUUGAACUAUGGUUUUAUUUCUUCAGGGUCCUCUGCCCAAAGUUUGAGGGAACAGGAAGAUAAAAAGAGCUGCAUUUAACAUCUGGCCACACAUAUAUGCUCUGCUAUGGGAAGAUAUCCCAGGGAGGCUCUCCAGGGGAGAAGCAGGGAGGAAGGAAGGAAGAAAGAAGAAGAUAAUCACAAGAAGGCAGAAAGGUGAGAAACUCAGACACAAGAGCAACCAAAUUCUGAGUAAAACCAGGGGUCCUUUUAUCACCCCCUGACCAUCUGCUCUCCAUAUUCUUUAUCUUGCCCCUUUCUUUACCCUAUUCUAUAUGCUCAAGUAACUCCUCCCCUUUGCCAUUCCACUUUACUUUUAUUUCUUCUUUUUUUUUUAUUUUUUAAAGUAUUUUUUUUAGUUGUAGAUGGACUCAAUAUCUUUA